AUGUAUAUCGCGAUGUCUAUAGGAACUACAACUUCUAAAGAAAUGUUGUUUUUUAAGGUCUCAUUUUCUGCCAGUUACAAAUAUAGUUUUCUUUAUAAAAUGAAAACUGUCGUUUACAGAUGCAGCCUCUUUAUGAGUUUCUGCCACAGGUGGAGACACCCCAGCAAACUGCUCCAUAUCGUCAGCAACCCCAACAGAACAAUCCUUAUGCUCCACCAUCACAGACACCCCAGCAGCAAGGACCUACCCGGCCUGCAAGCUUUGAGAUUCUCUUUCCUUAUGGAUACUCAAGACCGUCUUUCGGAGGUCCUGAGCAUGCUGGGGCAAUGUUCCCUUCCCAGGCAUUUAUCAGACAGAAGAUCCCCCAGCCCGCUGGUAGACAGAGCAUUGAAAUUCUCUUCCCCUACAGCUUUGGACAGCACCAGCAGAUGUUCCCAGGAGCCUCCAACAUGCCUCAGCCACCUCAGAUGCCCCAGCAACCUCAGCUGCCACAGCUACCCCAGCAACCCAAUAUGUUCCCAUAUGGAAAUAUGCCCCAGACAGGAGGACCACAGCAGAACCCGAAUGUGUUCCAUGGCUUUGGAAACGUGCCACCAAAUUUGUUCCCCUCCUUCGGAAACCUGCCACACCUGCCCCCUAACUUUAUUCCAAAUUUCGGAAUACCCCAGCCUGUCCCUCAGGAGCCAACCCAGCCUGUCCAGCCCGUCCAGCCUGUCCAGCCUGUCCAGCCCGUCCAGCCUGUCCAGCCAAGUCAGAAUACCCCCGUUGAGGAACAGGAUUAAUACCACGGUGUCUUGACCGAUAUGCUGCGAAGCUGGUCUUCCGACUGAUUCAAGAUGUUGAAGUGCUUCUACUCGUCUGGCGCGUACACAUCCUCGGCUCGACCUCGUAUUUUCUUUUCCUCUUGAUAAUGAUUCAAGUAGAAAAAGAAGAAUAUUGAUAAGCAGCCUAGAGCGUCACUGCGUAUUUGUUCUGCUUUUAGAAUUUAGCUCUCUGUUUAAAAAAAAAUAAUGUGACUGCUCCUUUUACACGUAUGUAACUUUAGAAAUGUGACUGAAACAGGAAGUAGUAAGAUCUGGAAAGCAUGGUCGUUUAUAAACGCGCUGAUUAACAUUAAUUUCUUCAGGCUUAUUUAAUGCUUUUGUGACGAACAUUAUGUAUAUGUGAGCAAUAGUGCAAAAGCAAAUGCGGUCGUUAUUUUUUCCAUCAUGGUGUGUUAAAUGUGAUAAUAGAAAUGUCCAGCUAUUUAAAAAUGUUUUUAAGCUGUUUGAAAAAUAUGAUGUGCCUAGAAAUAAAGUUUAAGUCCAUCAAAAAUGUUUUUUUUUCUAUUAUUUCUCUUUCGAUAACAUUCACUAAUGCGAAAGUCAGAUUCAUAAGGGAAAGAUACAGUAAAUGUUGUUGUAAGGACUUUUUUCUUGAAUACACCUUACUACAAACUAUGUGUUUGAGGAUUAGGGGGUAAGAUUCAAAGAAUUUUAUCCUGUUGUGUGAAUUAAAAACACUGGUGUAU
RNAcentral lists this long non-coding RNA (1510 nucleotides) under Lepisosteus oculatus (spotted gar). RNAcentral's name for it is "lncRNA (ENSLOCG00000021495.1)". Lineage: Eukaryota; Metazoa; Chordata; Actinopteri; Semionotiformes; Lepisosteidae. The record is from RNAcentral.